UAGCAGUAGGGAAUCUUCCACAAUGGACGAAAGUCUGAUGGAGCAACGCCGCGUGAGUGAAGAAGGUUUUCGGAUCGUAAAACUCUGUUGUCAGAGAAGAACGUGUGCGAGAGUAACUGUUCGUGCAGUGACGGUAUCUGGCCAGAAAGNCACGGCUAANUACGUGCCAGCAGCCGCGGUAAUACGUAGGUGGCAAGCGUUGUCCGGAUUUAUUGGGCGUAAAGGGAACGCAGGCGGUUUUUUAAGUCUGAUGUGAAAGCCUUCGGCUUAACCGAAGUCGUGCAUUGGAAACUGGGAGACUUGAGUGCAGAAGAGGAGAGUGGAACUCCAUGUGUAGCGGUG
This 342-nucleotide ribosomal RNA is filed under the name uncultured Lactobacillus sp. Its description in RNAcentral is "bacterial SSU rRNA". It matches the Rfam family "Bacterial small subunit ribosomal RNA", at positions 349 to 683 of the family's 1533-position model. Lineage: Bacteria; Bacillati; Bacillota; Bacilli; Lactobacillales; Lactobacillaceae. The record is from RNAcentral.